This 926-nucleotide long non-coding RNA is filed under the name Mustela putorius furo (domestic ferret). RNAcentral describes it as "lncRNA (ENSMPUG00000028265.1)". The record is from RNAcentral. Lineage: Eukaryota; Metazoa; Chordata; Mammalia; Carnivora; Mustelidae.
UGGAGGAGAAAGAAAGGCAUUCUGCAUUAGAGCAGAAAGGGUUGGCAGUACAGGGGCCAAGGAGGAGCAGAGAGCAAACUGCCUGAGCAGGGAAUGGUUGACCUCAUGGAAACUGAGAAUUUGGUACCGCAGGGAAUGGACCGUGAAUGCACAAAGAUAAAGUAGCUGGUGCGAGCAAUUGGUAAAAGGCUUCAGUGUUUAUAAUUAGACAAUGGAACUAGACAAGAGAGAGUUUACACAGAAGACAAAGGAUCCAGGGAUGCUACGAUAGUGAGAAUGUCUACUCUGCAAUUACAGAUAUCGGUUCAUGGUGGUCCGUGGGAGACUGUCCUUCUGAAAACUGACGUAAGACACCAACACUGGCCCGCUUUGAUAUACAUAUAUUCUGAGGCUCAUGGGCCAGUCUGGAGGCGAAGGGAGCAACUUACAAUACCAGAGGACUCCUGGCUCUGCGACUAUGUCAAAGAAGUCUGCUAUAAAACAAAAAUCAUCCACCAGGAUUCAACUUGCCUGGACAAGUGAACGACCCGGAUAUCCCAGGGCCUAGAGAGUAUACGAGGAAAAAGACCCAUUUUGUUUUCCGGCACGUGUCUAACAAUAUAUCAUUGUGAGACCAGUUACUGUCCCACUUCCGUGUUUAGUUAAUUCAGUUACAACUGGAAAACACAGGCUGUACUCUCUGCCCAAACCAACAUUUCUAAGUCCUCUCCCAGUUAUACUCUCCGUUGCAUUUGGUACAAAACCUGACUUUUGUACAAUGUUUUAUAUUGAGCGUGAUCAUAGGAUUUCUCGUUCCAGACUAGAAAACUUCUAGGAAUGAAAAGGGCGUUAGUAGUAAUUAUGCCAAGGCCACGAGUGUGAGUAGAUACUGCCUGGGGAAAGCCGGUAUGCAGGCCUGGCCCCAGAUCCUUGCACACUAGCUUUCU